CUACGGGACGCUGCAGUGGGGGAUAUUGCACAAUGGGCGAAAGCCUGAUGCAGCAACGCCGCGUGAAGGAAGACGGUUUUCGGAUUGUAAACUUCUAUCAGCAGGGAAGAAAAUGACUGUACCUGACUAAGAAGCCCCGGCUAACUACGUGCCAGCAGCCGCGGUAAUACGUAGGGGGCAAGCGUUAUCCGGAUUUACUGGGUGUAAAGGGUACGUAGGCGGUUUAUUAAGUCAGAUGUGAAAGCCCGGGGCUCAACCCCGGGACUGCAUUUGAAACUGGUGAACUAGAGUACAGGAGAGGUAAGUGGAAUUCCUAGUGUAGCGGUGAAAUGCGUAGAUAUUAGGAAGAACACCAGUGGCGAAGGCGGCUUACUGGACUGUAACUGACGCUGAGGUACGAAAGCGUGGGGAGCGAACAGGAUUAGAUACCCCCGUAGUC
Molecule: ribosomal RNA, 439 nt
Filed under: uncultured bacterium
Lineage: Bacteria
Description: partial 16S ribosomal RNA
Rfam family: Bacterial small subunit ribosomal RNA
Source: RNAcentral